RNAcentral lists this unclassified non-coding RNA (871 nucleotides) under Hevea brasiliensis (rubber tree). Lineage: Eukaryota; Viridiplantae; Streptophyta; Magnoliopsida; Malpighiales; Euphorbiaceae. The record is from RNAcentral.
GACACAACCUUUAGGUUGUACUAUAUAAAUUUCUCCUUACAAAUCACCAUUUAAAAAGGUUGCUUUAACAUCUAUUUGGUGAAUAAAAAGCUUAUGUAUAGAUGUCAAAGCAAUUAAAACUUGAAUAGAAGAAAUUCUAGCCACAGAAGCAAAAGUGUCAAAUCUUGUUUUUGAGUAAAACCUUUUGCAACUAAUCUUGCUUUAUAUUUAUCAAUUAAUCCAUCAGGAUUAUAUUUUCUUUUAAAAAUUCAUUUGCAACCAAUAAGUUUAGCUCCUGGAGGUCUACCAAAAUCCAAGUAUUAUUUUGGGUAAUAAAAUCAAUUUCAGUUUUAAUUGUUUCUUUUCAAAAAGGGGCAUCAGAAGAAGCAAUAGCAUCAUAAUAAGUUAAAAGAGUCAUUUUCGAUAAGAUAUGUACAAAAAUAAUUUCCAAAAAAAAGUCUCUUUCAGGGGAAACUGCAAAGUAGUAAUAUCCAAAUGUGAAGACUGCACGUAGACAAUUGACUGCCAAAAUAUUCUAGAAUUGUGCAAUGCAAACAUGCAUAUCAUUCUCUAUUAAACAAGGAAAAAGAAGAGGCAAUGAGUUUGAUUAAACCAUGUUAAUUAUCAAGAAGAGUCCAGCCAUGGCCAUGCUUUUAUGCAAGGCAACUCCAAUAUAGUAAAAAGUUGACUAUCCCAAUAAUUAAAGAGGCAUUUACGUUGGAAUGUCCAAAUAACAUACAUUAGAGUGGAGCAAGCCUAAACAAGUUCAAUGACAAAAAUUGUUAACAAUUGACUAUGCACUCAUCAACCAAUCCAUGAUCAUAUGUUAUACAACACGUAUUCCUUUUUGCUUUAUCCAAUCAUCUCCUCAUUUUUUCCACAAAAAAAAAAA